Molecule: ribosomal RNA, 468 nt
Filed under: uncultured bacterium
Lineage: Bacteria
Description: partial 16S ribosomal RNA
Rfam family: Bacterial small subunit ribosomal RNA
Source: RNAcentral
GACGAACGCUGGCGGCGUGCUUAACACAUGCAAGUCGAACGGAAAGGCCCUGCUAUUGUGGGGUGCUCGAGUGGCGAAAGGGGGAGUAACACGAGAGUAAGCUGCCCUUGACUUUGGGAUAACUUCAGGAAACUGGGGCUAAUAGCGGAUAGGAGCUCCUGCUGCAUGAUGGGGGUUGGAAAGUUUGGGCGGUUGGGGAUGGAGUCGAGGGAUAGCAGCUUGUUGGGGGGGUAGCGGCUUACCAAGGCUUUGAGGGGUAGGCGGCCUUAGGGGGGGACCGGCCACCUUGGUACUGAGAUACGGCCCAGACUCCUACGGGAGGCAGCAGUGGGGAAUAUUGCACAGUGGGCGGAAGCCUGAUGCAGCAACGCCGCGUGCGGGAUGACGGCCUUCGGGUUGUAAACCGCUUUCGCCUGUGACGAAGCGUGAGUGACGGUAAUGGGUAAAGAAGCACCGGCUAACUACGUG